CACGCCGUAAACGAUGAGUACUAGGUGUUGCGGGUAUUGACCCCUGCAGUGCCGGAGCUAACGCAUUAAGUACUCCGCCUGGGAAGUACGGUCGCAAGACUAAAACUCAAAGGAAUUGACGGGGGCCCGCACAAGCGGUGGAGCAUGUGGUUUAAUUCGACGCAACGCGAAGAACCUUACCUGGGCUUGACAUCCGUGGAACCUGGUGGAAACACCGGGGUGCCUUCGGGAGCCACGAGACAGGUGC
RNAcentral lists this ribosomal RNA (247 nucleotides) under uncultured Geobacter sp. RNAcentral's name for it is "partial 16S ribosomal RNA". It matches the Rfam family "Bacterial small subunit ribosomal RNA", at positions 796 to 1041 of the family's 1533-position model. The record is from RNAcentral. Lineage: Bacteria; Pseudomonadati; Thermodesulfobacteriota; Desulfuromonadia; Geobacterales; Geobacteraceae.